GUUAUCGUAGCUUACAUUAAAGCAUGGCACUGAAGACGCCAAGAUGGUUAUUAUAUACCCGAAUAACA
This 68-nucleotide transfer RNA is filed under the name Chitra vandijki. RNAcentral's name for it is "tRNA-Phe". Lineage: Eukaryota; Metazoa; Chordata; Testudines; Trionychidae. The record is from RNAcentral.